Molecule: non-coding RNA, 220 nt
Filed under: Bacillus sp. (in: firmicutes)
Lineage: Bacteria; Bacillati; Bacillota; Bacilli; Caryophanales; Bacillaceae
Description: Bacillus sp. T-box sequence
Rfam family: T-box leader
About the family: Uncharged tRNA acts as the effector for transcription antitermination of genes in the T-box leader family. T-boxes are found upstream of many aminoacyl-tRNA synthetase genes and some amino acid biosynthetic genes usually in Gram-positive bacteria.
Source: RNAcentral
CAAUAGGCGUUGAAAGAGAAAGUAUUUUCCGAAUUUAGGUUCAGCGAGCCGGGGGCGGUGGAAGCCCGGCCCAUAGAUUGGAAAUGAAAAUCACUCUAGAGCCGGAUGGCGGAAUUGCAGUACGUCUUCCCGGAAACACCCCGUUAUGGUGUCUGAGUGGCAGCAGGAUCUAUCUGUUGCAAGUAGGGUGGUAACGCGAGAAUUAGGCCUCGUCCCUUUU